RNAcentral lists this ribosomal RNA (253 nucleotides) under uncultured bacterium. RNAcentral's name for it is "partial 16S ribosomal RNA". It matches the Rfam family "Bacterial small subunit ribosomal RNA", at positions 524 to 776 of the family's 1533-position model. The record is from RNAcentral.
GACGUAGGGCGCGAGCGUUGUCCGGAUUUAUUGGGCCUAAAGCAUCCGUAGCCGGUUCUACAAGUCUUCCGUUAAAUCCAACUGCUUAACAGGUGGGCUGCGGAAGAUACUAUAGAGCUAGGAGGCGGGAGAGGCAAGCGGUACUCGAUGGGUAGGGGUAAAAUCCGUUGAUCCAUUGAAGACCACCAGUGGCGAAGGCGGCUUGCCAGAACGCGCUCGACGGUGAGGGAUGAAAGCUGGGGGAGCAAACCGG